UACGAAGGGGGCUAGCGUUGUUCGGAAUUACUGGGCGUAAAGGGCGCGCAGGCGGUUUUGGAAGUCAGGCGUGAAAGCCCCGGGCUCAACCUGGGAACUGCGCUUGAUACUCUGAGACUAGAGUUCGGGAGAGGAGAGUGGAAUUCCCAGUGUAGAGGUGAAAUUCGUAGAUAUUGGGAAGAACACCGGUGGCGAAGGCGGCUCUCUGGACCGAUACUGACGCUGAGGCGCGAAAGCGUGGGGAGCAAACAGG
RNAcentral lists this ribosomal RNA (253 nucleotides) under uncultured bacterium. Its description in RNAcentral is "partial 16S ribosomal RNA". It matches the Rfam family "Bacterial small subunit ribosomal RNA", at positions 524 to 776 of the family's 1533-position model. The record is from RNAcentral.